GAUAGUGUGAAAUCUACAAUCAGAAAGCUGCUGAUGAAAAACAUCUACAUUCCAACCUUCACCUCUCCAAUGAUCGAUCCAGUCGACCUGCUUGAAGCAAUGAUUCCUAGGUCAUCUCCGAUUUGAUCAAACUCCUUCAAUGCAGCUUCCAUUUCUGCCUCAAUAGCUGCAUCAUCCGGAUUCAGCAGGCCUAAGCGUAAGGAGUCCUGGUAGUGUUGUUCGUACUGCUUCUCCUUCUCGGGGUCGCUCUCGAAGGGAUCCAUAACGGCCCCCUGACACAGUUCCGCAAAAUGCUUGUAAACCUCACUGUUUUGGUCUUGAUCGUAUAUUAAUGUUCCACCA
This 342-nucleotide unclassified non-coding RNA is filed under the name Hevea brasiliensis (rubber tree). Lineage: Eukaryota; Viridiplantae; Streptophyta; Magnoliopsida; Malpighiales; Euphorbiaceae. The record is from RNAcentral.